CAGCAGCCGCGGUAAUACGUAGGGUGCGAGCGUUGUCCGGAAUUACUGGGCGUAAAGAGCUCGUAGGUGGUUUGUCGCGUCGUCUGUGAAAUCCCGGGGCUUAACUUCGGGCGUGCAGGCGAUACGGGCAUAACUAGAGUGCUGUAGGGGAGACUGGAAUUCCUGGUGUAGCGGUGAAAUGCGCAGAUAUCAGGAGGAACACCGAUGGCGAAGGCAGGUCUCUGGGCAGUUACUGACGCUGAGGAGCGAAAGCAUGGGUAGCGAACAGGAUUAGAUACCCUGGUAGUCCAUGCCGUAAACGGUGGGCGCUAGGUGUGGGGGUUUUAUUUACGAUUCCCGUGCCGUAGCUAACGCAUUAAGCGCCCCGCCUGGGGAGUACGGCCGCAAGGCUAAAACUCAAAGGAAUUGACGGGGGCCCGCACAAGCGGCGGAGCAUGUGGAUUAAUUCGAUGCAACGCGAAGAACCUUACCUGGGCUUGACAUACACCGGAUCGCUGCAGAGAUGUAGUUUCCCUUGUGGCUGGUGUACAGGUGGUGCAUGGUUGUCGUCAGCUCGUGUCGUGAGAUGUUGGGUUAAGUCCCGCAACGAGCGCAACCCUUGUCUUGUGUUGCCAGCACGUUAUGGUGGGGACUCGCGAGAGACUGCCGGGGUUAACUCGGAGGAAGGUGGGGAUGACGUCAAAUCAUCAUGCCCCUUAUGUCCAGGGCUUCACACAUGCUACAAUGGUCGGUACAGUGGGUUGCGAUACCGUGAGGUGGAGCUAAUCCCUUAAAGCCGGUCUCAGUUCGGAUUGGAGUCUGCAACUCGACUCCAUGAAGUCGGAGUCGCUAGUAAUCGCAGAUCAGCAACGCUGCGGUGAAUACGUUCCCGGGCCUUGUACACACCGCCCGUCGCGUCAUGAAAGUUGGUAACACCCGAAGCCAGUGGCCCAAACUUGUUAGGGAGCUGUCGAAGGUGGGAUUGGCGAUUGGGACGAAGUCGUAACAAGGUAGCCGU
RNAcentral lists this ribosomal RNA (997 nucleotides) under uncultured Corynebacterium sp. RNAcentral's name for it is "bacterial SSU rRNA". It matches the Rfam family "Bacterial small subunit ribosomal RNA", at positions 509 to 1503 of the family's 1533-position model. The record is from RNAcentral. Lineage: Bacteria; Bacillati; Actinomycetota; Actinomycetes; Mycobacteriales; Corynebacteriaceae.